AGAAAGAAGACUUGCCUAGGAUAUUUCGUGAUUUAUUGUUUUCUGAUCUUAUUGGGUGUGUCCGAACUCGUGUAGUCUGACUCGCCCCCUUAGCGCAACAAAAAAAAAGAACAAGAAAAAAAAAGGCCUAUAAAAUAGAAGGCCACUCCCAUUAUAAUGUAACAAAUUGGAGAAUACAAGCCUUGCUAUUUUAGAAUUCCUCUCCCUCUGCUCCAAUCUAUUCCCUCUC
RNAcentral lists this long non-coding RNA (229 nucleotides) under Phoenix dactylifera (date palm). Its description in RNAcentral is "long non-coding RNA (PDAC_LNC016482)". The record is from RNAcentral. Lineage: Eukaryota; Viridiplantae; Streptophyta; Magnoliopsida; Arecales; Arecaceae.